GUGAGGAACCUGGGUCAGAGGAAUCCAAGUCAGGUGGCGUGCCUGACCAAGAACGGUGGAGAAAACAGAAUGGGAAAUAAUGACAAAGUAGCCAAGGCUGGGAGGAACCGGUCCCGGAGCCCUACAGCGCGCAUCCAAGCAAUAAGAAGCGACUCCAUGCCCAUGACUGGAUGGAAGGAAACAGUGAAGCUGCCAGGAGGACACGGAAGGUAAUCCCCACGCGAUGGGCUACAGGGAAGAUAAGCAAGGGAUUUAGAAGUCAAGUCAGGAUGCCCAAAAAGGCUUCUUGGAGGAGGUGGCAAUCCCCUUGUAGUCCCUGGCCUCUACUCUCCACAGAUCUGACCCUACAAUGUGGGGCUUGAUGGGCACACUGCCCUAGCCAAUCAGAUUGCCCAUUCUUUUGUCUACAAUGGGAGAAAAGGCUGCUCUUUCUAGACAAAGGACGUAUCUUUCUAGACAAGUCCAUCAGAUUUCAUCCCCGGACCCCACACCCUCCAUUAGGAAAGAAGAUGGCUGUCUCCUUCUCCAGACCGGAUGAGUCAGGAUGAGCACCCAAGCUUGUUUCAGACAGACACAGAACAGAACGAUGCCUUUUGACUCCUGGAGAAUUCUGAUGUUGUAAGGAGCCUGUAACCUGGCAGGCAAAAGGCCUGGCUGAAGAGAGAUUAAAAGAAAGGGAGCAUAGACCCACACUACACGGCCAUUGUAGAUAAGAGUGAGAAUGUGUGGAGUGUAGCAAAGUGUGAUUAGCAAGAUUUAGCAAACUAUUUAAGGGACCAGCAGAACUGGGAACUUUAAAGUGUACCACGACUCUAUGUCCUGGAGCUCUCUUCCUCUAACCUGAAACAACCAGUCCAUCAAGCUGAGACCCAUACAGCAAUACCGGGUCCUCAAGAAACUCAAACAGCCUGAAUUCAGAGGAACAGAAGUAGAGAGCCCAAACCUGCGGGCGGCUGCAGGAGAGGUGCCCCCUGCUGUGAGCCUAUUGUCUGUGGUUCUUAGGAUUGUUUGCUUAUGCUUGUGUGUGUUACUUUGACAUAAGUGUGAAGUAAAACUUAU
RNAcentral lists this long non-coding RNA (1059 nucleotides) under Cricetulus griseus (Chinese hamster). Its description in RNAcentral is "lncRNA (ENSCGRG00015007507.2)". The record is from RNAcentral. Lineage: Eukaryota; Metazoa; Chordata; Mammalia; Rodentia; Cricetidae.